This 187-nucleotide ribosomal RNA is filed under the name Vibrio cholerae. RNAcentral's name for it is "partial 16S ribosomal RNA". It matches the Rfam family "Bacterial small subunit ribosomal RNA", at positions 1 to 181 of the family's 1533-position model. Lineage: Bacteria; Pseudomonadati; Pseudomonadota; Gammaproteobacteria; Vibrionales; Vibrionaceae. The record is from RNAcentral.
UAAUUGAAGAGUUUGAUCAUGGCUCAGAUUGAACGCUGGCGGCAGGCCUAACACAUGCAAGUCGAGCGGUAGCACAGAGGAACUUGUUCCUUGGGUGGCGAGCGGCGGACGGGUGAGUAAUGCCUGGGAAAUUGCCCGGUAGAGGGGGAUAACCAUUGGAAACGAUGGCUAAUACCGCAUAACCUCG